CCUACGUGUGGCAGCAGUGAGGAAUAUUGGUCAAUGGACGAGAGUCUGAACCAGCCAAGUAGCGUGAAGGAUGACUGCCCUAUGGGUUGUAAACUUCUUUUAUAUGGGAAUAAAAUGUUCCACGUGUGGGAUUUUGUCUUUACCAUAUGAAUAAGGAUCGGCUAACUCCGUGCCAGCAGCCGCGGUAAUACGGAGGAUCCGAGCGUUAUCCGGAUUUAUUGGGUUUAAAGGGAGCGUAGGUGGAUUGUUAAGUCAGUUGUGAAAGUUUGCGGCUCAACCGUAACAUUGCAGUUGAAACUGGCAGUCUUGAGUACAGUAGAGGUGGGCGGAAGUCGUGGUGUAGCGGUGAAAUGCUUAGAUAUCACGAAGAACUCCGAUUGCGAAGGCUGCUCACUGGACUGCAACUGACACUGAGGCUCGAAAGUGUGGGUAUCAAACAGGAUUAGAUACCCCUGUAGUC
Molecule: ribosomal RNA, 460 nt
Filed under: uncultured bacterium
Lineage: Bacteria
Description: partial 16S ribosomal RNA
Rfam family: Bacterial small subunit ribosomal RNA
Source: RNAcentral